AGAGCAUUUGGUGAAUGCCUUGGCAUGUACAGGCGAUGAAGGACGUGGCACGCUGCGAUAAGCGUCGGGGAGUUGUGAGCAAACUUUGAUCCGGCGAUUUCCGAAUGGGGAAACCCACCUUCACCAUUUCAUUCGUUGUCCGAGCGAUCGGAUCAUGAGUGAGGUGGAUAAGGUAUCACUAGGGUGAAUAAAAUAGCCUUUGGUGAAGCGAACCCGGGGAACUGAAACAUCUCAGUACCUGGAGGAAAAGACAUCAACCGAGAUUCCGUUAGUAGUGGCGAGCGAACGCGGACCAGGCCAGUGCCUCAUCUUCAACUAGCAGAACACUUUGGGAAGAGUGGCCAUAGCGGGUGACAGCCCCGUAUGCGAAAGUGAUGGAUGAGGCCUCGAGUAGGGCGGGACACGUGAAAUCCUGUCUGAACAUGGGGGGACCACCCUCCAAGCCUAAAUACUCGUACAUGACCGAUAGUGAACUAGUACCGUGAGGGAAAGGUGAAAAGCACCCCGAUUAGGGGAGUGAAACAGUACCUGAAACCGAAUGCUUACAAGCAGUGGGAGCUUCCUUGAGGAGUGACCGCGUACCUCUUGCAUAAUGGGUCAGUGACUUAGUUUAUCGAGCAAGCUUAAGCCGUUAGGUGUAGGCGUAGCGAAAGCGAGUCUGAAAUGGGCGACAGAGUUCGAUGAAUUAGACCCGAAACCCGGCGAUCUAGGCAUGACCAGGCUGAAGGUGCGGUAACACGCACUGGAGGGCCGAACCGUUGAAUGUUGAAAAAUUCUCGGAUGAGUUGUGUUUAGGGGUGAAAGGCCAAUCAAGCCGGGAAAUAGCUGGUUCUCCGCGAAAUCUAUUGAGGUAGAGCGUCGGAUGAUUGCCGAUGGGGGUAGAGCACUGGAUGGGCUAGGGGGUCGCGAGAUCUACCAAACCUAACCAAACUCCGAAUACCAUCGAGUCUAGUCCGGCAGACAGACGGCGGGUGCUAAGGUCCGUCGUCAAAAGGGAAACAGCCCUAACCUACAGCUAAGGUCCCCAAGUCACGUCUAAGUGGGAAAGCAUGUGGGAUUUCCAAAACAACCAGGAGGUUGGCUUAGAAGCAGCCAUCCUUUAAAGAAAGCGUAACAGCUCACUGGUCUAAAUAAGAGAUCCUGCGGCGAAGAUGUAUCGGGGCUAAAGACGUGCACCGAAGCUUAGGGUGUGAUCGUUUACGAUCACGCGGUAGCGGAGCGUUCCGUAGGCUGAUGAAGCGAUCUGGUAAUGGGUCGUGGAGGUAUCGGAAGUGCGAAUGCUGACAUGAGUAGCGAUAAAGAGGGUGAGAUGCCCUCUCGCCGAAAGACCAAGGGUUCCUGCUUAAAGCUAAUCUGAGCAGGGUUAGCCGGCCCCUAAGACGAGCCCGAAGGGGGUAGUCGAUGGGAACCACGUUAAUAUUCGUGGGCCUGGUGGUGUGUGACGGAUCUCGUGUGUUGUCCUUCCUUAUUGGAUUGGAAGGGCUUCGAAGAGGUUCCAGGAAAUAGCCCCACCGUAUAGACCGUACCCGAAACCGACACAGGUGGUCAGGUAGAGUAUACCAAGGCGUUUGAGAGAAGUAUCCUGAAGGAACUCGGCAAAUUGCCUCCGUACCUUCGGAAGAAGGAGGCCCCAUUGGCGCGCAAGCGUUAGUGGGGGGCACAGGCCAGGGGGUAGCGACUGUUUAGCAAAAACACAGGACUCUGCUAAGUCGGCUUCAAGACGACGUAUAGGGUCUGACGCCUGCCCGGUGCCGGAAGGUUAAGAGGAGGAGUGCAAGCUCCGAAUUGAAGCCCCGGUAAACGGCGGCCGUAACUAUAACGGUCCUAAGGUAGCGAAAUUCCUUGUCGGGUAAGUUCCGACCUGCACGAAUGGCGUAACGACUUCCCCACUGUCUCCAGGAUAUGCUCAGCGAAAUUGAAUUCUCCGUGAAGAUGCGGAGUACCCGCGGUUAGACGGAAAGACCCCGUGCACCUUUACUGCAGCUUCAGAGUGGCAUUAGGAAAGAAUUGUGUAGCAUAGGUGGGAGGCUUUGAAGCAUCGGCGCCAGCUGAUGUGGAGCCAUAGGUGAAAUACCACCCUGUUGUUUUCUGAUGUCUAACCCAGCACCGUUAGCCGGUGCGGGGACCCUCUGUGGCGGGUAGUUUGACUGGGGCGGUCGCCUCCUAAAGAGUAACGGAGGCGCGCGAU
Molecule: ribosomal RNA, 2188 nt
Filed under: Dryas drummondii
Lineage: Eukaryota; Viridiplantae; Streptophyta; Magnoliopsida; Rosales; Rosaceae
Description: bacterial LSU rRNA
Rfam family: Bacterial large subunit ribosomal RNA
Source: RNAcentral